This 88-nucleotide transfer RNA is filed under the name Candidatus Moraniibacteriota bacterium. Its description in RNAcentral is "Candidatus Moranbacteria bacterium tRNA-Ser". It matches the Rfam family "tRNA". Rfam says of the family: Transfer RNA (tRNA) molecules are approximately 80 nucleotides in length. Their secondary structure includes four short double-helical elements and three loops (D, anti-codon, and T loops). Further hydrogen bonds mediate the characteristic L-shaped molecular structure. tRNAs have two regions of fundamental functional importance: the anti-codon, which is responsible for specific mRNA codon recognition, and the 3' end, to which the tRNAs corresponding amino acid is attached (by aminoacyl-tRNA synthetases). tRNAs cope with the degeneracy of the genetic code in two manners: having more than one tRNA (with a specific anti-codon) for a particular amino acid; and 'wobble' base-pairing, i.e. permitting non-standard base-pairing at the 3rd anti-codon position. The record is from RNAcentral. Lineage: Bacteria; Candidatus Moraniibacteriota.
GGAGAGGUGGCCGAGCUGGCUGAAGGCACCACACUGCUAACGUGGCAGGGCUUAAUCGCUCUCGAGGGUUCGAAUCCCUCCCUCUCCG